UUAAACCUGUUAAAAUAAAUUGAUUAGCCAA
RNAcentral lists this non-coding RNA (31 nucleotides) under Homo sapiens (human). Lineage: Eukaryota; Metazoa; Chordata; Mammalia; Primates; Hominidae. The record is from RNAcentral.